Molecule: long non-coding RNA, 784 nt
Filed under: Cyanistes caeruleus (blue tit)
Lineage: Eukaryota; Metazoa; Chordata; Aves; Passeriformes; Paridae
Description: lncRNA (ENSCCEG00000009384.1)
Source: RNAcentral
GUUCCAUAGAGACAGGUAGAUUAGUACAGAAAAAAGACAUGGCUAAAGAGGUGCACCAGUUUCCAUUUUAAGUGCCUAUAUUUAAGUAUUUAAAUUUUUCUCACCUUUACAUUUUGGACUAAGCUUUUUGGUCUUCACCUUUGCUCCAAAAGUCUCUCCUAAGUGAUAGCAUGAACUUAACUGGAAACAUAUCCUUUUUUUCCAACAUAACAGAAAUUUCAUCAAAAGCAGCUACUGUUGGUAGUUGAAAUAUGGCAUGGAGCAACUCUCCAAGUAUGUUUCCUUCCACUGUGACAAAGAAAUCUAAUUAGAACUGUGCCUUGAUCGAGAUGUUGACAGCUGUAUUCAGAUCAUUCUGAGUGCACAGACAGGGAAUACAGUACUGAACUCGCACAGAUUAGACAGAUGCUGAAUGGGAGAUGAGCAGAAGUAGUAACCGUAAGGAAGAUAAGUACAGACCCUGGAUAAAAUGAGAAGUGCUUCACGAGGUCCUUGACUAGACAGAGGUACACAGGAUUCACUUGGUAUUAAGAGUCUGGUUCACAAGUAUUGGUUUCCUCUCACAUCCCCAGAAGGAAAUUCCCAAGGAUGCUGUAAUUUUCAUAAGUACAGAUGAUUCCAGAAGUUCCUCCAGCAUGUUAGAGCUAUGCUCUUGCUACAAGUGGUGAGAACAUCCCAUGUAAAGCCCUGGGAAUAGUGAGGAUUUGAGAGAGGGCCACCAAGAAGAAAAUGGUAACCAGAAAAGUGGCGUUUAACUCUCAACCAGUAUUUCAGAGCAAUAAAU